This 301-nucleotide ribosomal RNA is filed under the name uncultured bacterium. RNAcentral describes it as "partial 16S ribosomal RNA". It matches the Rfam family "Bacterial small subunit ribosomal RNA", at positions 509 to 807 of the family's 1533-position model. The record is from RNAcentral.
CAGUCGCCACGGUAAUACGAAGGGUGCAAGCAUUAAUCGGAAUUACUGGGCGUAAAGCGUGCGUAGGCGGUGAGUUAAGUCUGCUGUGAAAUCCCCGGGCUCAACCUGGGAAUGGCAGUGGAUACUGGCUCGCUAGAGUGUGUCAGAGGAUGGUGGAAUUCCCGGUGUAGCGGUGAAAUGCGUAGAGAUCGGGAGGAACAUCAGUGGCGAAGGCGGCCAUCUGGGACAACACUGACGCUGAGGCACGAAAGCGUGGGGAGCAAACAGGAUUAGAUACCCCCGUAGUCCCUGUCUCUUAUAC